Molecule: long non-coding RNA, 1259 nt
Organism: Clupea harengus (Atlantic herring)
Lineage: Eukaryota; Metazoa; Chordata; Actinopteri; Clupeiformes; Clupeidae
Source: Ensembl
AGAGAGACAGAACACACACACACACAGAGAGAGAGAGAGAGAAAACAUGUUCUAGUCACAUGUGGUCACGGCUGAUGUUUAAAACCCCAGAGUCAGUGGAGAGUAGAUUGGGUCCGGUAUGUGUCAGAUAGUUUAGUGUUGUUUAGUGUGGUGUAGUUUAAUUUAGUGUAGUUCUGGCUCUGGUAUGUGUCAGAUAGUGUAGUGUUGUUUAGUGUGGUGUAGUUUAAUUUAGUGUAGCUCUGGUAUGUGUCGGAUAGUGUAGUGUUGUUUAGUGUGGUGUAGUUUAAUUUAGUGUGGUGUAGUUUAAUUUAGUGUAGUUCUGGGCGUCUGAGUGGCCCUGGGAUGGGUUGGGUGGAGUAGGGCGGGCUUACACACAUUACUCACACACUCACACUCACACACACUCAAUACUCUUAUUAGCAGUGCUGCCUGUAAGCUCCCCCAUAUACAGGUGUGUGUGUGUGUGUGUGUGCGUGUGCCGCCUAACCACCAGUCUGGUUUUAGUUAUUUAUUUUAUAUUUGCGUAUGCCAGUCGAAUUGUAAACAAAUACAACAAGGAAACAUAAAAAUUAAACAAAGCCACCUUUAAAAAAAAAAAAGACACACGGAAGCUUCUAGAAGGUUCCCAUUUCCGAGCCCCAGCGGUCAGCGCAGUUGCAGCUCCCUUCAAACAGACCCCAACCUGACAUCAUUCCCUUACUGUGGCUCACCAAGGACACUAUUAAUAAUGGGGUGCAUUUUCUCCUUAUGGGUUGACUGCCAUAUCUUAAUAUAUAUUUAUAAUAUCUGAAUCGGAUUGAUUGCUGAAAAUAAUUACACUAAUACUGUAUGCAUAAUAUGCUGACGAAUUGGCAGAAAAUAAAGUGAAGGCUUCACGGUACCAUGGAGGAACCCUGUAGAAGCGGCUCUGCUGUUCUCUCAAGGUUCUCUAAGGGUUCUCUAAAGGUUCUCUAAGGGUUCUCUGCUGUUCUCUAAGGGUUCUCUGCUGUUCUCUAAAGGUUCUCUAAGGGUUCUCUGCUGUUCUCUAAGGGUUCUCUAAGGGUUCUCUGCUGUUCUUUGAGGGUCAGUUCGUUUCAUUUGGUUCAAUGCCAUACUGUCACUGCCGACUGGGUUCCCGUGUAGGUAGCUAGUGGGAGUGAAAUGGGAGUGGGUGAUUUGAGGUGGUGGCCUAUGAGGGCUAUUCUGGUGUGAUUUAAAGUAAUUAGUUUUACGCUUUUUAGCAUCAACUUUACUUUACAGAGGCUGAGACAUGUCAAGCA